GCUACAAUGCUGCAGUUGUCAACAACUGUUGCCCUCGAUGCGAAAGAAACGGCCACCAACCAAUGGCGAGCAUCAAUAGGAAUAACUUGAUAUCAAGAAACGCCUGAUAUCAGAAAACACCCAUAAUUGCAAUCUGCAAUUACACCCUUCUCCAAUUUUCAGCUGUCAGAGAUGCACCUCCCCCGAUGUCACUCGACUUUUGUCUACUGUAGAAAGGGCCCAUGGAGUUGGUGGAAUAAUCCUUUAAUUCAUUGCCAUUUACUCAGCUGGGCCAGGGGCGCUUUAAUUAGGUCAGGUGGCAAUGUCCGACAGAUCUCAACUCCAUAAAAGGAGGAAAUUGCCAUCGCCUGAUCUCGCUGCUUUCUCUUCCUUAACUCCAUCUGAUCCAGACGUUCUGUGCGUCCAUGAAUCCACCACAGACUACUCCGUAAAUAUACCACUUUAUGGUUAAAGGAAUUCCUGCCUCAGUCUCAUCCAUUCCUGACACGUGACCACCUGUUCACCUUCACUGUCAGUCAUCCUACCUGUCCAGCUACCCACACAGAUUCCACUAAUCUGUCAUCUACAGUCGGUUGCUUUUGCCUUACCACUGAAACACGCCCACAGACUUGAUUGUUGACAUAUUAGAUCAGAUGAGGAUGGGCUUGAUUGACAGGGCUGAGCACCAAUAGAUGAAGUAAAACAUUUCUAGCGGGAUUGAAUCCGCUUAAAGGAAAGAACCACUCACUUGAUUAACUUAAUGUAGCAGGCAUAAAAUAGCAUUUUAUUGACAAUCAACUUACCUGGAAAAUGAAAUUGCACCAUCGAUGAAUAAUUAACAAUAAACUUAUCACAAACAAUCCAUGGGCCCUCUCACAGUGGCAACUACACUGAGUAUACCAAACAUUAGGAACACCUUCCUAAUAAUGAGUUGCAACCCUUUGGCCCUCAGAACAGCCUCGAUUGGUCAGGGCAUGGACUCUACAUGGUGUCGCAAGCAUUCUACAGGGAUGCUGGCACAUGUUGACUCCAAAUCUUCCCACAAUUGUGUCAAGUUGGCUGGAUGUCCUUUGGGUGGUGGACCAUUCUUGAUACACAAGGGAAACUGUAGAGCAUGACAAACUCAGCAGCGUUGCAGUUCUUGACACAAACCAGUGCUUUUGGUACCUACUACCAUACCAAGUUCGAAGGCACUUACAUUUUUUGUCUUGGCCAUCUACCCUCUGAAUUGCACACAUACACAAUCCAUGUCUCAAGUCUUUUGAUCUGCCUCUUGUGGUGUGGGAGCUGGGCUUUGGAAAAGUGGGUGUGGUUAUAUCCUGCCUGGUUGGCCCUGUCCGGGUUUAUCGUCGGACGGGACCAGUGUCCCCUGAUUCUCUCUUCGGACAUGCUGUUUUCGUUUCUCUCUCCCUACCACACCUGCUGUCGACUUCUGAAUGCUCAGAUAUGAAAAGUCAACUGACAUUUACUCCUGAGGUACUGACCUGUUGCACCCUCUAAAACCACUGAUUACUAUUUGACCCUGCUGGUCAUCUAUGAACAUUUGAACAUCUUGAAGAACAAUCUGGCCUUAGUGGCCAUGUACUCUUAAUCUCCACCAGGCACAGCCAGAAGAGGACUGGCCACCUCUCAGAGCCUGGCUCCUCUCUAGAUUUCUUCCUAGGUUCCUGCCUUUCUAGGGAGUUUUUCCUAGCCACCGUGCUUCUACAUCUGCAUUGCUUGCUGUCUGGAGUUUUAGGCUGGGUUUCUGUAAAGUCCUUUGACAUCUGCUGAUGUAAAAACGGCUUUAUAAAUACAUUUGAUUGUGUGCCAAAUCAUCGUCUGAGCAGUUGGGCAUCAGAUUGCUAUAUCAUAUGGGUCGCGUUCCCCUGCUCAGACGUUGCAUGCAUCAGCCAAUGGUUGAUACUGUAGUUCCAAAAACCGAAGUGAACAACUAUUUUUAUGAAAUGCGACAGUACAGCUAUAUUACAUUUUGUGAAAGAAAAAUAGCUAAACCUAUUUACCGAAAAAUAUUCUGAAAUACAGUCCAACUCUUGACGUGGUGUAAAGUGUUCAUUUUGGGAUGUUUGUGUGGGUUUUUAUUGUGUGAAUGUGCUUUAAAAAGUGGUAAUAUGUAUUAAUUGUGUUCAAUAUACUAGGCCCAUAGAUGGUUUAAAAGGAUAGUUCACCCAAAUUACUAAAUAACACAUUGCUUACAGGGUACAGAAACCAGUCUAUGGACAAGGUAUGACAGCAAUCAAUUGGUUUCCACAUGCUAACGUUUUAGCAUUUGUGGCACAAAUCCCAUUCGAGUCAUGGGAUGGAUGCUAGCAUUUAUCUAAAAUUGAUUGUGAAGCUCAGCAAAGUCACGUAUAGAUGUUUUGCAUAAGAUGCGGGAAAAAAGCUCAUAUCCGUCCCAUGGUUUAAAAGGGAUUUGUGCCACAAAUGCUAAAUCAUGGAAACGGUGCCAGAGAAACACAACCAAAGUAUGGAUUGCUGUCAUGACUUGUCCAAUUACCCUGUAAGCAAUGUACUUUUCUAAUUUGGGUGAACUAUCACUUUAAAAUGGAUGGCCACACUGUAGGUCUCAAAGGCUCCAUCUAGUGUAGAAGAUUUGAAGAAUUCCCAAAUUAUACUUCAUAUACAUGCAGAUGGUUGUUAUAAAAGCAACUGUCUAGGAGCUGUAAAAAGUUCAAUUACACUGAACAAAAAUAUGUAUGUAAAAAAGUGUUUAUCCCAUGACCUGAAUUAAAAGAUCCCAGAAAUGUUCCAUAAGCACAAAAAGUUUAUUUCUCUCAAAUGUUGUGCACAAAUCUGUAUACAUCCACUUGACAGGAGUGGCAUAUCAAUUUUCUGAUUAAACAGCAUGAUAAUUACACAGGUGCACCUUGUGCUGUGCUGGGGACAAUAAAAGGCCACUGUAAAAUGUGCAGUUGUCACACAACACAAUGCCACAGAUGUCUCAAGUUGAGGGAGCAUGCAAUUGGCAUGCUGACUUGUAGAAUGUCCACCAGAGCUGUUGCCAAAGAAUUUAAUGUUUUAUUUCUCUAACAUAAACUUCCAUCUGUUUGUUUUAGAGAAUUUGGCAGUACGUCCAACCGGCCUCAAUCGCAGACCACGUCUGUUGCGUCAUGUGGGCGAGCGGUUUGCUGAUGUCAACGUGAACAGUGCCAGGCCCAUGGUGGUGGGGUUAUGGUAUGGGCAGGCAUAAGCUACGGACAACGAACACAAUUGCAUUUUAUCAAUGGCAAUUUGAAUGCAAAAAAAUACCGUGACGAGAUCCUGAGACCCAUUUAAGGUAUCUGUGACCAACAGAUGCACAUCUGUACUCUCAGUGACGUGAAAUCGAUAGAUUAGUGUCGAAUUUAUUUAUUUAAAUUGACUGAUAUCCUCAUAUGAACUGUAACUCAGUAAAAUCAAUGAAUGCAUGGCAUGUUGCGUUUAUUUGUGUUCAGUAUAUAAUAAACAUUUUACCAUCUUCUUUGGUCGUGACUUUACAAUAACGUCAUAGAAACUAAACUACAGAUGCAUUACGCACAUUGUAGUGUUUCUCUUCUUGUCCGCAACAUGGCACUCUAGGCUAAGCAAUGAAUGGCUAUGGUUAGAACUUUCGAUAUGUAUACAAAUGGAAAUAUCUCAAACAUUUAUCGCGUCCUCGCUCCUCGUCUCCUUCUCAAGACCCAUUGGAUGAGAAAGCCAGAACUCCCUCUAAAUGUAUCCAAUGGGGAAAGGACAGGACGCGAGGCGUAAGUAAACAGAGAUUUCAGAGAAAGGAGAUAGUGAUCCUAAUGCAAUUACCGGAAGACCAUCAUAACGCCUCACCAGCAGAAUGUCGACCAAUCGUGUUCACGUUCUAUGGUGCGUCACGCGGUUGCUAAACUAAUUGUAACGCAAUCCAUCCUUACAAAUUUCAUAUACACAAAUGUAAAUUUACAAACAGAACCACAUUUUCGUACCCUACAAAAAGAAAUUGAACUGUAUUUUAAGACGGUUAAAUGCUCUACUAACAAAAAAGCUGUUAGAAUUGUAAGUAUAUGCAUGUCCAUUAAGGUCCUUGUGUAAUUGAAAUGUGAUAUUGUACCCCCUAGUGCGAUUGUCAAUUGUUUAAUCUAUGUAUGCUUGUUCCCUCAUGUGCUUUAUGUAUUGAUUUAAUAAAAAUAAAAAAUAAAUUAAACGCAAUCCAUCCUUAACUUGGCUAUUUUCCUCGAAAGUACGCAAUGUCACGAUUCCAAAGCUACACGAUAUUACAUACAAGUUAAUUAUCUCAUAUCUCGG
Molecule: long non-coding RNA, 4233 nt
Organism: Oncorhynchus tshawytscha (Chinook salmon)
Lineage: Eukaryota; Metazoa; Chordata; Actinopteri; Salmoniformes; Salmonidae
Source: Ensembl